AAUUUAGAGAUUGGGAUGAAGCUUAACUUCCAAGACAUAAUAUCUUUAGUUGACAAUCACAGUGCUUCUUGUAACUUUCUCUGCAGCAUUUGUAAUUGACCUUUUCUGAAGGUACAAAGAGUGGAGUGCAGAAGAAUAGAUGAAGGAGGAGGCUGGCUGGUCCAUACCUGUAGGGAAACUGGCACUGCUAUCUAAAGCAGCAGUACUUUGGAGAGGAUUUAAUGAACAUACUGACCAUCUCCUUGAGUAAACCAACUGAUUUAUAUUUUCUGUGUUCAACUGCUUGAAAACAUUCUUCAAGGAAACAACUGUCUAGACAAGAUCACAGUAAAUCCUCUGUUGCACAAGUGGUGGGAAAAGAGGAUGGCCUUGGCAUGAACGAGUCUUUAUUCUGUUGAGAGCUGAAAGGCGUGUUAGACUGGUUAAUGCCAAGUUGGCAGUCAAUCAUUUCAGCCUCACACUUGCUUAAAGAACAAAAAGAACAGCUAAUUACUCCAUGGAAUCAAAAUGACAUUCCCAAGCACUUCCCAAAGGUCAUCAGCAGUGUUGGAUUUUGAAGAGUCACAAGGAAACCUCUGUAACGAGAACAACAAAAAAAAAAACUGGCUGAAGUAAUAUUGUGCCUUUUUAUAUGGAUAAGCUACUGGAAAAUAGCAAAUUUCAAAUAGUUUGCUAAUCAACAGAGAA
This 687-nucleotide long non-coding RNA is filed under the name Numida meleagris (helmeted guineafowl). RNAcentral describes it as "lncRNA (ENSNMEG00000003782.1)". Lineage: Eukaryota; Metazoa; Chordata; Aves; Galliformes; Numididae. The record is from RNAcentral.